Molecule: RNA transcript, 2898 nt
Organism: Stegostoma tigrinum
Lineage: Eukaryota; Metazoa; Chordata; Chondrichthyes; Orectolobiformes; Stegostomatidae
Gene: znf653
Gene name: zinc finger protein 653
Exons: 9
Source: RefSeq, a predicted model, not a curated record
GAAGGCCGGAGUGACCAAGAUGGCGGACGGGAUGGAGCCGGCGGCGGCAGCAGCAGCGGGGGAGGACUCGGAGUCCGGGCCUUUGCGGGAUCCUCUGCCCGGCGAUGUCGGUGCGGAAGCCAAGCGGGGCCGCGGGCGGCCGCGCCUCAGCGACACCGACCGGCUGCAGCGGCGCCUCAACAGCCGCAAGAAGUACGACAACCGGCGCAUCUAUAUCGGAGAGUCCUACGUGGUGUGGGCCGCCCUCCGAGAGCGUUACGGCUGGUCUGACAAGAGGCUGGCACUGCACCUGGUGCAGCUGGAGCAGGGCGGCCGGGACCGCCGGCACAGCAAAUCUGGUGCAGAGGAACAGAACUCGAAAAUUAAUUCCUCACAAAAAGUCAAAAAGCAAGCACUUAGCUCACUGAAGACUCUGGUGGUGUGGUACGAGCAUCAUAAACAGACAUGCAAGCAGGAGCCUGUACUCUAUGAACUGCAGCGAGUGUGUGAGUGCUCAGUGGCCAUUGUGUGGCAGUGUGAAGCAGGUCACCAGUACCUGCAGUGCUUAGAGCCUGUCCGGAAGAACUGCCACACCCCGGAUGCUGAACCUGCCGCCAAGGACAUUGUGACGGUCAGCACUUCAGAGGAAACCCAGAGUCAGCAGCCCUGCCCAGUGACCAAGAAGGUGCGGAAGGAAAAAAGAGGCACAGUCAGAAAGAAGCCAGGACAGUCUAAUGAAUUGUACAUGAAGUGCGAAUCGGACACUUCCACCUGUGACGAGUCUGACUCUGAACAGAAGUUUGAAGAAUAUUUCAACGUGAAACUCAUUGAUGUUGAUGCCAGUGAGUCUGUCUAUGACACUGCAAACAAAGAAGGUGGCGUGAAUGACAAAACCUUGAAUUCAGGGGGCAAAUCUUGUGAGGAAACAGACAAAAGUGAAGACAGACAUGGAACUGAGGUUGGUGAGCUGGCAUCUCCGUGUCGAGCCCAAUCGCCAUGCAAGAGCUCUAUUGCGGAAGACCAUCUGCCACUGCCAGCACAGCUUCCAGCACUGGCUGACGUACCGCAGACUGUUGAGAAAGAUGCGUUGACCUCCUUAACUGCCGACUGUGCUGUAACUGUGCAGAUUUCCACUGUACAGAGUUCGGAGAUCACUAGCAUCACAGAGUCAGAGUUUGGGCAGGUACCUUUGGACACUGCGCAGCCAGCAAACCCCACUGAAUAUGAGGAAAUGACAUGUACUUUUUCAGAGCAGUUGACGUAUGUGAAUCCAGUGGGUGAAUGUUAUACCAUUGCGGGACAGACUGAAGGCGCAGAGUGGAGUGAGCAUCCAGGUGUGAUAGGAGAAAGAACAGUCAUUGAUGGCUCUGCGUUGCCUGCACCUGAACCAAAGGAAGCUGCACAGAAAACGCCACAUAAACCAAAGAGAAAAAAGGGCGGCUACAUUAUUGAUGCAGACGGGAUGUUUCAGUUGUUUCACUGUCCGCAUGAAGGAUGCAACCAGGUGUAUAUCACUUUGAACAGCUUCCAGAACCAUGUCAACCUUGUGCACAGAAAGGGGAAAACGAAAGUCUGUUCACAUCCAGGUUGUGGGAAGAGGUUUUACUUAUCGAAUCAUCUCCGGCGACACAUGAUCAUUCAUUCAGGUGUGCGGGAUUUUAUCUGUGAAACAUGUGGGAAGUCAUUCAAAAGGAAGAACCAUCUUGAAGUUCAUCGAAGAAUGCACACAGGGGAGACUCCACUCCAGUGUGAAAUCUGUGGCUAUCAGUGUCGACAGAGGGCGUCGCUGAACUGGCACAUGAAGAAGCACGACACGGAAAUACAGUACAACUUCACCUGUGAAUACUGCGGCAAGAAGUUUGAGAAAAUGGAAAGUGUUAAGUUUCACAAGUUAAAAAGCCACCCUGAAUGUCAAACCAUGUGACGCUACUGGACUUAAACUACCGUAAUAUUUGAGGAACGUGUACAAACCCUCCUUGAUGCCAUGUAAAUUCUGUGCAAGUACUGUGACUAUAUGGAAAAUGAAAUUUUUAUAUUAUUUUCAGUUUUCUCGCUGUCAUAUUUUCAAAUGAGGGACAGUGAAGUUGGGGGUCUGAAUACAAUGAGAUUACUUGAAUCUUGGGCCAGUGCAAUCACUGUGCUGAGGGAGAUGUUGUCACUUCUGCAAUGCACUCUGAACUGACUGCUGAUGAAGCCAAAGGUGGAUUUGAUGCUGAAGUUGCAAUUAAAUAGCAUCAUUUGUAACGUCAUGACUUCCAGUGGGCCUGCGUUUGGCAUACUUCAGGGUAGAUGGGACAGUGUGGGUGUUUGAGGGCUGUAGCACUGUCUUUAGUCAGCAUCCUUUUGCCAUGGUGCUCAGGUACAGUGAGUGGAUCCUUUCAACGAUUGCAACCCAUUUUGCCAACUCUGCGGAGAACAUUAAACAGCCUGUUUUUAAAAAGAAACUAGAAACUUGAAGGCGAGGUUAAUGAGAUGUUGCAUAACAAGCGAGACCCUUUAGGCUUCAACAAAAGCGAAAUACCGCGGAUGCUGGAAAUCUGAAACGAAACCGGGAAUACUGGAGAAACUCAGGCAGCAUGGGAGGAGAGAGAAACAUAAACAGAAAUUGCACCAUCUGUGGAGAGAAAUCAGAGUUAACAUUUUGGGUCGUAGAACAGUACAGCACAGUACAGGCCCUUUGGCCCAUGAUGUUGUGCCAACCUACUAAGAUCAAACUACCCCGCGCACCCUACAUUUUACUAUCCUCCAUGUGCCUAUCCAACAGUUGCUUAAAAGUAUCUAAAAUCCAGUGACCUUUCUUCAGAACUCUCUUCUUGGAGAGAAAAUAUUUUGAGUUCUUUUUGAUUUUUCUUUAGGAACUGAAGGGAAUAUUUAUUUAUUUAUGUUGAAAGGGGAGGAAGAAUAAUAAAAUGAAGGAGA